CCGCGUUUUUGAGUGAGUGUGGACGACGCUGGAUCUUCUCACCGGCUGCCAUGAUCGAACAAACAGCAGAAAUUAAGAUCAAGGAGGAGCAUCACAACAGUUUCGUUGAAGUAGACAUUCUAGUAUAAGCUUGAUGAGUACACACCAGGUUUUGCAGCUAAUGCAUGCCAAAGGAGGAGCAGCUAGUUGCAAGAUGCAUCCUCUGCUGGACAGUUUAAAUACACAGAACAUUGAGGAAAAAAGAGAUGCUGUUGUCUGCUGCCUCAGUAACUACCUUGGGGAAAGACAAGAAGAUAUGUUCCAUGACUGGCAGGUAUGUCAUAUUGAUAACAGAUUCUUAAUCAACUCAAGUGAUCCUCCUCUUAUAUCCCCCUUCUCCUUUUGUCUUCUUCUCUCCUCUGCUCUCCUUUAGAUAAACUGAAAUAUAUUGAAACAGAAUCUUAAAAUAAAAUUGUGUUUGCUUUUUGUUUGUUUCAUUUUAAUGUAGGAAUGUGAGGAGUACACAGAAAAAACGAUGAAGGAGAUUGUGGAGCACAAUUUGUCUAUUGUGAUCGGGGGAAAACAAGUGAUGGAAGAAUGGGGAAGCCAAACAGAGGCAUGCAUACUGCUGGGACUCAUAUUUUUUUCUCUUCAAUCAUUUGCUUCACACACAGACAAAGACCCAUCCACUGUCUCUCAGCCCUCUCCAUUGCUCUGUGUUUUCCCCAAUAUUUCCUAUACAGAAAAGGAAUACUAAUGGAAAGUGGCCUAAAGAAUUUUGAUCUCACCUACCGUCUUUUCUUCCCCAUUGGUUUAUUUAUUUUAUUCUCAUCCUAUCUGCGAGAGUGAGAGUAAGGACAAAAAAUAAAGAAUUUUGUUUUACUUUUAUCCGGAUAUUUGAUACUGUACAUGCACAAAA
RNAcentral lists this long non-coding RNA (898 nucleotides) under Danio rerio (zebrafish). RNAcentral's name for it is "lncRNA si:dkeyp-92f10.1 (ENSDARG00000101617.2)". The record is from RNAcentral. Lineage: Eukaryota; Metazoa; Chordata; Actinopteri; Cypriniformes; Danionidae.